Molecule: ribosomal RNA, 318 nt
Filed under: uncultured eukaryote
Lineage: Eukaryota
Description: partial 18S ribosomal RNA
Rfam family: Eukaryotic small subunit ribosomal RNA
Source: RNAcentral
CCCUUAGAUGUUCUGGGCCGCACGCGCGCUACACUGACGAAGUCAGCGAGCAUGUCCUACGCCGACAGGUGCGGGGAAUCUUGUCAAACUUCGUCGUGAUGGGGAUUGAUUAUUGAAAUUCUUGAUCAUCAACGAGGAAUUCCUAGUAAGCGCAAGUCAGCAGCUUGCGUUGAUUACGUCCCUGCCCUUUGUACACACCGCCCGUCGCUCCUACCGAUGGGUGAUCCGGUGAAUGAUUCGGACUUCAGCGGCUCCCCUGGGGUGCGCCGGAGAAAGUUUUGUGAACCUUAUCACUUGGAGGAAGGAGAAGUCGUAACA